AGCUACACAUGCAGUCGAGCGGUAGCACAGAGAGCUUGCUCUCGGGUGACGAGCGGCGGACGGGUGAGUAAUGUCUGGGAAACUGCCUGAUGGAGGGGGAUAACUACUGGAAACGGUAGCUAAUACCGCAUAAUGUCGCAAGACCAAAGUGGGGGACCUUCGGGCCUCAUGCCAUCAGAUGUGCCCAGAUGGGAUUAGCUAGUAGGUGGGGUAACGGCUCACCUAGGCGACGAUCCCUAGCUGGUCUGAGAGGAUGACCAGCCACACUGGAACUGAGACACGGUCCAGACUCCUACGGGAGGCAGCAGUGGGGAAUAUUGCACAAUGGGCGCAAGCCUGAUGCAGCCAUGCCGCGUGUGUGAAGAAGGCCUUCGGGUUGUAAAGCACUUUCAGCGGGGAGGAAGGCGUUAAGGUUAAUAACCUUGGCGAUUGACGUUACCCGCAGAAGAAGCACCGGCUAACUCCGUGCCAGCAGCCGCGGUAAUACGGAGGGUGCAAGCGUUAAUCGGAAUUACUGGGCGUAAAGCGCACGCAGGCGGUCUGUCAAGUCGGAUGUGAAAUCCCCGGGCUCAACCUGGGAACUGCAUUCGAAACUGGCAGGCUAGAGUCUUGUAGAGGGGGGUAGAAUUCCAGGUGUAGCGGUGAAAUGCGUAGAGAUCUGGAGGAAUACCGGUGGCGAAGGCGGCCCCCUGGACAAAGACUGACGCUCAGGUGCGAAAGCGUGGGGAGCAAACAGGAUUAGAUACCCUGGUAGUCCACGCCGUAAACGAUGUCGAUUUGGAGGUUGUGCCCUUGAGGCGUGGCUUCCGGAGCUAACGCGUUAAAUCGACCGCCUGGGGAGUACGGCCGCAAGGUUAAAACUCAAAUGAAUUGACGGGGGCCCGCACAAGCGGUGGAGCAUGUGGUUUAAUUCGAUGCAACGCGAAGAACCUUACCUGGUCUUGACAUCCACAGAACUUUCCAGAGAUGGAUUGGUGCCUUCGGGAACUGUGAGACAGGUGCUGCAUGGCUGUCGUCAGCUCGUGUUGUGAAAUGUUGGGUUAAGUCCCGCAACGAGCGCAACCCUUAUCCUUUGUUGCCAGCGGUUAGGCCGGGAACUCAAAGGAGACUGCCAGUGAUAAACUGGAGGAAGGUGGGGAUGACGUCAAGUCAUCAUGGCCCUUACGACCAGGGCUACACACGUGCUACAAUGGCAUAUACAAAGAGAAGCGACCUCGCGAGAGCAAGCGGACCUCAUAAAGUAUGUCGUAGUCCGGAUUGGAGUCUGCAACUCGACUCCAUGAAGUCGGAAUCGCUAGUAAUCGUAGAUCAGAAUGCUACGGUGAAUACGUUCCCGGGCCUUGUACACACCGCCCGUCACACCAUGGGAGUGGGUUGCAAAAGAAGUAGGUAGCUUAACCUUCGGGAGGGCGCUACCACU
Molecule: ribosomal RNA, 1420 nt
Filed under: Klebsiella sp. ii_2_chl_3
Lineage: Bacteria; Pseudomonadati; Pseudomonadota; Gammaproteobacteria; Enterobacterales; Enterobacteriaceae
Description: bacterial SSU rRNA
Rfam family: Bacterial small subunit ribosomal RNA
Source: RNAcentral